RNAcentral lists this ribosomal RNA (380 nucleotides) under uncultured eukaryote. RNAcentral describes it as "partial 18S ribosomal RNA". It matches the Rfam family "Eukaryotic small subunit ribosomal RNA", at positions 592 to 976 of the family's 1831-position model. The record is from RNAcentral.
CAAUAGCGUAUAUUAAAGUUGUUGCGGUUAAAAAGCUCGUAGUUGGAGUUCUGCCAGGUGCCGCCUGUCCGCCCCAGUGGUGAGUACGUGGCGCGCAUUUGGCCCUUUCAAGGGGAGCGUAUCUGCACUUUAUUGUGUGGUGCGGGAUCCUUGACUUUUACUUUGAGGAAAUAGGAGUGUUCCAAGCAGGCUCUCGUCGUGCACAGCUCAGCAUGGAAUAAUAGCAUUGGACCUCGAUUCUAAGCUGUUGGUUGCCAGAAGCGAGGUAAUGAUGAAGAGGGAUAGUUGGGGGCAUUCGUAUUUAACUGUCAGAGGUGAAAUUCUUGGAUUUACGAAAGAUAAACUUCUGCGAAAGCAUUCGGCAAGGAUGUUUUCAUUGA